GAUGAACGCUGGCGGCGUGCUUAACACAUGCAAGUCGAACGAAGCACUCUAUUUGAUUUUCUUCGGAAAUGAAGAUUUUGUGACUGAGUGGCGGACGGGUGAGUAACGCGUGGGUAACCUGCCUCAUACAGGGGGAUAACAGUUGGAAACGACUGCUAAUACCGCAUAAGCGCACAGGAUCGCAUGAUCCGGUGUGAAAAACUCCGGUGGUAUGAGAUGGACCCGCGUCUGAUUAGCCAGUUGGCAGGGUAACGGCCUACCAAAGCGACGAUCAGUAGCCGACCUGAGAGGGUGACCGGCCACAUUGGGACUGAGACACGGCCCAAACUCCUACGGGAGGCAGCAGUGGGGAAUAUUGCACAAUGGGGGAAACCCUGAUGCAGCGACGCCGCGUGAGCGAAGAAGUAUUUCGGUAUGUAAAGCUCUAUCAGCAGGGAAGAAGAAUGACGGUA
This 452-nucleotide ribosomal RNA is filed under the name uncultured bacterium. RNAcentral's name for it is "bacterial SSU rRNA". It matches the Rfam family "Bacterial small subunit ribosomal RNA", at positions 28 to 477 of the family's 1533-position model. The record is from RNAcentral.